GCCUUCGUGGUGUAGUGGUCAGCACGAUGGGCGUGUAUCCCAGAGGUCCGUGGUUCGAGUCCCGGCGAAGGCG
Non-coding RNA from Stegodyphus mimosarum, 73 nucleotides. NCBI's taxonomy places the organism in Eukaryota, Metazoa, Arthropoda, Arachnida, Araneae, Eresidae. The record is from Rfam.